Molecule: ribosomal RNA, 466 nt
Filed under: uncultured bacterium
Lineage: Bacteria
Description: partial 16S ribosomal RNA
Rfam family: Bacterial small subunit ribosomal RNA
Source: RNAcentral
CGAACGCUGGCGGCGUGCUUAACACAUGCAAGUCGAACGGAAAGGCCCUGCUUUUGUGGGGUGCUCGAGUGGCGAACGGGUGAGUAACACGUGAGUAACCUGCCCUUGACUUUGGGAUAACUUCAGGAAACUGGGGCUAAUACCGGAUAGGAGCUCCUGCUGCAUGGUGGGGGUUGGAAAGUUUCGGCGGUUGGGGAUGGACUCGCGACUUAUCAGCUUGUUGGUGGGGUAGUGGCUUACCAAGGCUUUGACGGGUAGCCGGCCUGAGAGGGUGACCGGCCACAUUGGGACUGAGAUACGGCCCAGACUCCUACGGGAGGCAGCAGUGGGGAAUAUUGCACAAUGGGCGGAAGCCUGAUGCAGCAACGCCGCGUGCGGGAUGACGGCCUUCGGGUUGUAAACCGCUUUCGCCUGUGACGAAGCGUGAGUGACGGUAAUGGGUAAAGAAGCACCGGCUAACUACGUG